This 486-nucleotide ribosomal RNA is filed under the name uncultured bacterium. RNAcentral's name for it is "bacterial SSU rRNA". It matches the Rfam family "Bacterial small subunit ribosomal RNA", at positions 9 to 494 of the family's 1533-position model. The record is from RNAcentral.
GAGUUUGAUAUGGCUCAGAUUGAACGCUGGCGGCAUGCCUAACACAUGCAAGUCGAACGGUAACAGGUCUUCGGAUGCUGACGAGUGGCGGACGGGUGAGUAAUGCGUAGGAAUCUGUCUUUUAGUGGGGGACAACCCAGGGAAACUUGGGCUAAUACCGCAUGAGCCCUGAGGGGGAAAGCGGGGGAUCUUCGGACCUCGCGCUAAGAGAGGAGCCUACGUCCGAUUAGCUAGUUGGCGGGGUAAAGGCCCACCAAGGCGACGAUCGGUAGCUGGUCUGAGAGGACGACCAGCCACACUGGGACUGAGACACGGCCCAGACUCCUACGGGAGGCAGCAGUGGGGAAUUUUUCGCAAUGGGGGCAACCCUGACGAAGCAAUGCCGCGUGGAUGAAGAAGGCCUUCGGGUUGUAAAGUCCUUUCGUGGAGGACGAAAAGGUGGGUUCUAAUACAAUCUGCUAUUGACGGAAUCCAAGAAGAAGCACC